AUACACAACCAAUCCAAACUACAAUAAUUCUAAAAUAGUAAGAAUGGAAAUCAAUCUACUUUCUUGUCUACCCUAAUUACAAAGUGUGAAUAAUUCGGCCGUCUUAGUGUUCUCCACCUCAUACAAAUAAAUAAAUAAAUAAAUAAAUCUCAUUGUUCUCACUGGUUGAGGAAGGCAAUCUAAGUGCGCCAAUUCUUAGGUACUUCCACACAGUUCUAUGUGCCUUUCUCAUGCCACGCACACAAUCAUACAUUGUGUGGAAUGACCGAUCGAUCGAAUGUCGGAGCCAAGUAUAUUCGCGAUUCCUGCGUGGAUUCAUUCGUAGAUCCAAGCGAGGUCGUUACACCUGUACAACACCGCCCAAUACGUGUCCAUGCGGGAGCUCGAAGCAUG
Molecule: long non-coding RNA, 393 nt
Filed under: Physcomitrium patens
Lineage: Eukaryota; Viridiplantae; Streptophyta; Bryopsida; Funariales; Funariaceae
Description: long non-coding RNA (PPAT_LNC006007)
Source: RNAcentral